This is a small nucleolar RNA of Tachyglossus aculeatus (Australian echidna), 138 nucleotides long. Lineage: Eukaryota; Metazoa; Chordata; Mammalia; Monotremata; Tachyglossidae. The record is from RefSeq and is a predicted model, not a curated record.
CCCCUCUCAGGAUAGCACCUGGAGAGUCUCCAGUACUCUUCCAGUCUCGGCUAGGGGAGGAAGAGUUGAGCAGAGACAUACUCAUUCUAUUCCUAGCUUGGGCAGUGGCUAGCGAGAGGAAGGUAAUCUGUUACAAGC